RNAcentral lists this ribosomal RNA (253 nucleotides) under uncultured bacterium. Its description in RNAcentral is "partial 16S ribosomal RNA". It matches the Rfam family "Bacterial small subunit ribosomal RNA", at positions 524 to 776 of the family's 1533-position model. The record is from RNAcentral.
UACGUAGGGUGCAAACGUUGCUCGGAAUUACUGGGCGUAAAGCGCGUGUAGGCGGGCUAGUAAGUCGGACGUGAAAUCCCUGGGCUCAACCCAGGAACUGCAUCCGAAACUAUUAGCCUUGAGUGGUGGAGAGGGAAGCAGAAUUCCUGGUGUAGAGGUGAAAUUCGUAGAUAUCAGGAGGAACACCGGUGGCGAAGGCGGGCUACUGGGCUGAUACUGACGCUGAGGCGCGAAAGCUAGGGGAGCAAACAGG